This 497-nucleotide ribosomal RNA is filed under the name uncultured bacterium. Its description in RNAcentral is "partial 16S ribosomal RNA". It matches the Rfam family "Bacterial small subunit ribosomal RNA", at positions 28 to 507 of the family's 1533-position model. The record is from RNAcentral.
GAUGAACGCUGGCGGCGUGCCUAAUACAUGCAAGUCGAGCGAACAGACGAGGAGCUUGCUCCUCUGACGUUAGCGGCGGACGGGUGAGUAACACGUGGAUAACCUACCUAUAAGACUGGGAUAACUUCGGGAAACCGGAGCUAAUACCGGAUAAUAUAUUGAACCGCAUGGUUCAAUAGUGAAAGACGGUUUUGCUGUCACUUAUAGAUGGAUCCGCGCCGCAUUAGCUAGUUGGUAAGGUAACGGCUUACCAAGGCAACGAUGCGUAGCCGACCGGAGAGGGUGAUCGGCCACACGGGAACGGAGACACGGUCCAGACUCCUACGGGAGGCAGCAGUAGGGAAUCUUCCGCAAUGGGCGAAAGCCUGACGGAGCAACGCCGCGUGAGUGAUGAAGGUCUUCGGAUCGUAAAACUCUGUUAUUAGGGAAGAACAAAUGUGUAAGUAACUAUGCACGUCUUGACGGUACCUAAUCAGAAAGCCACGGCUAACUACGUG